This 269-nucleotide long non-coding RNA is filed under the name Hordeum vulgare. RNAcentral's name for it is "long non-coding RNA (HVUL_LNC003959)". Lineage: Eukaryota; Viridiplantae; Streptophyta; Magnoliopsida; Poales; Poaceae. The record is from RNAcentral.
UGAUGGACUAGCUGGAGCACCCCUGCAGGGUUAAAUAUUUAUGAAGCCGUGUCCGCGGUUAUGUGGCAACUUGGAAACUUUUUCAGCACCCGGCCAUAACAAACUUGAGAUAAACUUAAUUAAAAUAUGCCAACUGUGUGUAACCAUGACUGUCUCUUCUCGUGACUUCUUAUCCGAGAGAGGACAAGGUGGGGUUAUGUUUGACUCGUAGGUAGGUGUUCAGGAUUAUUUGUUGAUAAAUAUUAGUUCACGUCCAUUUAUGUGUAGAU